GCCAUAAAAUAAGGCACAACUCAGUGGAGACGAGACUAAACGCUCUCUGACAAUCCCCUCUGAGGCCUUCACAGGACAGCGAGUGCAUCCUGACAUCAAGGUCUGAGGCUUUUUUAAAUAAGGCCCUAGCAACGGCGCAGAAAAGCCCCUACUGAGGACGGAGACGACGGGUUCAAAGGGUCCAAGGGAAGCCGAGGACUGCAGCAGGACACCAGUUGGAAGAGACAGACAGCUGUGGAUCCAGCUGUACGGAAUGUCUUCAUUUUUCCCUCUUUAAAGUAUUUACAGAGCGAGGGGCCCUGAGGAAGACAGGCUGUAGCUGUCCUGAGUGGGAAGUGAACGUGGCAAUCAGUCAGCGCCUUCAGAUGGAACGCCAUGGCCUUUCACUUUCACAUCACGUAAAACGUCGUCCUGCUAGUGACCAGUGCUGCUGGCUAUUUUCAACGUUCACACUUGGACCA
Long non-coding RNA from Gambusia affinis (western mosquitofish), 461 nucleotides. RefSeq lists it as uncharacterized. The record is from RefSeq and is a predicted model, not a curated record. The transcript has 3 exons. NCBI's taxonomy places the organism in Eukaryota, Metazoa, Chordata, Actinopteri, Cyprinodontiformes, Poeciliidae.